AUUGAACGCUGGCGGCAGGCUUAACACAUGCAAGUCGGACGGUAACGGGAAGAAAGCUUGCUUUCUUUGCUGACGAGUGGCGGACGGGUGAGUAAUGCUUGGGAAUCUGUUUUAUGGAGGGGGAUAACUACGGGAAACUGUAGCUAAUACCGCGUAAUAUCGAGAGAUUAAAGUGUGGGACCGUAAGGCCACAUGCCAUAGAGUGAGCCCAAGUGGGAUUAGGUAGUUGGUGGGGUAAAGGCCUACCAAGCCGUCGAUCUCUAGCUGGUCUGAGAGGAUGACCAGCCACACUGGGACUGAGACACGGCCCAGACUCCUACGGGAGGCAGCAGUGGGGAAUAUUGCACAAUGGGCGCAAGCCUGAUGCAGCCAUGCCGCGUGAAUGAAGAAGGCCUUCGGGUUGUAAAGUUCUUUCGGUGGUGAGGAAGGUUGGCGUGUUAAUAGCACGUUAAUUUGACGUUAGCCACAGAAGAAGCACCGGCUAACUCCGUGCCAGCAGCCGCGGUAAUACGGAGGGUGCGAGCGUUAAUCGGAAUAACUGGGCGUAAAGGGCACGCAGCGGAUACUUAAGUGAGGUGUGAAAGCCCUGGGCUUAACCUAGGAAUUGCAUUUCAUACUGGGUAUCUAGAGUAUUUUAGGGAGGGGUAGAAUUCCACGUGUAGCGGUGAAAUGCGUAAGAUGUGGAGGAAUACCGAAAGCGAAGGCAGCCCCUUGGGGGAAUACUGACGCUCAUGUGCGAAAGCGUGGGGAGCAAACAG
RNAcentral lists this ribosomal RNA (758 nucleotides) under uncultured bacterium. Its description in RNAcentral is "bacterial SSU rRNA". It matches the Rfam family "Bacterial small subunit ribosomal RNA", at positions 28 to 775 of the family's 1533-position model. The record is from RNAcentral.